AUAUUACAGGCAUAACCCUAUUCAUUAGACAUAGUAAAGGAGACAAGAAGUAAAAGGAAAGAAAUGAUAAACUACAAUUAAAAAUGUUUGUUGUUUCAUUCUAAUAAAAUAUAUUGAUAAAGUGAUUCGUACAAUUUUUUUUUUUAAUUGAUUGGAUAGAAAAGAUGUAUAACUAGGUGAAUCGUGAUGAUCAUAUUAUACUUAG
RNAcentral lists this unclassified non-coding RNA (205 nucleotides) under Melitaea cinxia (Glanville fritillary). Its description in RNAcentral is "misc RNA ENSMCXG00005019390.1". Lineage: Eukaryota; Metazoa; Arthropoda; Insecta; Lepidoptera; Nymphalidae. The record is from RNAcentral.